GACGAACGCUGGCGGCGUGCUUAACACAUGCAAGUCGAACGGAAAGGCCUGCUUUCCCUUGUGGAUUGCGGGUACUCGAGUGGCGAACGGGUGAGUAACACGUGAGUGAUCUGCCCCCAACUUGGGUAUAAGCCUGGGAAACUGGGUCUAAUUCCCGAUAGGACUGCAGGGUGGUGCCUGUGGUGGAAAACGAUUUUCUAGUGGUUGGGGAUGAGCUCGCGGCCUAUCAGCUUGUUGGUGGGGUAAUGGCCUACCAAGGCGGCGACGGGUAGCCGGCCUGGGAGGGUAGACGGCCACAUUGGGACUGAGAUACGGCCCAGACUCCUACGGGAGGCAGCAGUGGGGAAUAUUGCACAAUGGGCGGAAGCCUGAUGCAGCGACGCCGCGUGGGGGAUGACGGCCUUCGGGUUGUAAACUCCUUUCGACCGCGAGGAAGCCACCUGGUUGGAAGGGUGGUGACGGUAGUGGUAGAAGAAGCACCGGCUAACUACGUG
RNAcentral lists this ribosomal RNA (494 nucleotides) under uncultured bacterium. RNAcentral describes it as "partial 16S ribosomal RNA". It matches the Rfam family "Bacterial small subunit ribosomal RNA", at positions 28 to 507 of the family's 1533-position model. The record is from RNAcentral.